Molecule: ribosomal RNA, 497 nt
Filed under: uncultured bacterium
Lineage: Bacteria
Description: partial 16S ribosomal RNA
Rfam family: Bacterial small subunit ribosomal RNA
Source: RNAcentral
GAUGAACGCUGGCGGCGUGCCUAAUACAUGCAAGUCGAGCGAACGGACGAGAAGCUUGCUUUUCUGAUGUUAGCGGCGGACGGGUGAGUAACACGUGGAUAACCUACCUAUAAGACUGGGAUAACUUCGGGAAACCGGAGCUAAUACCGGAUAAUAUUUUGAACCGCAUGGUUCAAAAGUGAAAGACGGUCUUGCUGUCACUUAUAGAUGGAUCCGCGCUGCAUUAGCUAGUUGGUAAGGUAACGGCUUACCAAGGCAACGAUGCAUAGCCGACCUGAGAGGGUGAUCGGCCACACUGGAACUGAGACACGGUCCAGACUCCUACGGGAGGCAGCAGUAGGGAAUCUUCCGCAAUGGGCGAAAGCCUGACGGAGCAACGCCGCGUGAGUGAUAAAGGUCUUCGGAUCGUAAAACUCUGUUAUUAGGGAAGAACAUAUGUGUAAGUAACUGUGCACAUCUUGACGGUACCUAAUCAGAAAGCCACGGCUAACUACGUG